AUAUCUGUAUCUAUCUCUUUCGAUCUAUAUGACUGUCCAUCUAAAUUUAACUGUUGGCAAAUAAGUUAGAGAUGGCUUCCUUUCUUAGCUAUAGAUGUUAGACAACCUAUAUAGAUGUUAGACAACCUAUCUAUAUAGAAGGUUCAUUAGAAAUCACUUUGUUGGGUGUCAUCAUUUACCUGAAUUUGUCUGGUAUUGUGAAUAUGACAACUUUUGGAGCAUCAUUGCCAUUGCUAACAGUAGGCAAUCUGGUUCAGCCUUUUGAGUCUGGGGUGAAUGAGUCACAGUGGGAAAGUGGAUGAUGCACUUCAGGGGCUGUUAUUUUUUUGGCUGCUGAGUACCAUUAUUAUGGUGAUAUGUUCAGUUGGUGUUCAGGGAGGGUUAGAACCUCUACUGUGAGAGCUUGCUGAAUGCUUUUCAGGGCUGCUUAUCCCCGUUUGGUGUCUACCUCUUUCCCAGCUCUUACCUGUGGCUCCAAGCUAUAGUUUUCAGCAGCAGCCUGUUAAAACUGUCCAGGCAGAUGGGUUAAGCUUGGGUUUAUGUCUAACUCUAGGCUUGUGAAGACCUCUCCUGCCAGAACAGAUGGAUGAGGCAAAAUUUGUUUCAGAAGCCAUGAAGGUGGCUGAAGCAAACACUUUCGAGUGCUUAAAACUUGGACGGCUAUUAGAGACACUGACAUCAUUCAGCAAUGUCCAAGGAUACAAUUGGCGGAGUUUCUUUUGUUUUAAAAAACAUGAUAAACAAGUACAGAAUGUGCGCAAGCAGGAAGAAACUGACCUAAAGCUGCUGGUGUCUGACUGGACAGAAACUCAAGUUGGCCAUUGGUUAAAGAGUAUUGGAAUGAAAAAAUAUAUCCUGAAAUUUGAUUAUAAAAGAGUAAGCAGUCAAGAACUUCUUGAAUUAGACAAUGAUGCAUUAAAAUGCAUUGGAAUCACUAAGAAGAGAGAUCGCAAGAAAAUCCUUAAGGGAAUUAAGAAAAUUCAACAGACAGAAAAAAAUUAAUACAAUCUAACAAUUAAAUAUAUCAAAAAGAUAAUUCUGGAAGAUACAGCAAAAAUGAGAAAAAUAUAAUUACAUGAUAUUUACCUUUAAUCUACUACUUCAACAUAUUAUUUUGAUAUAGAAUAAUUUUUCAUUGUUGAAAAAUUAUUAAUAUCAUCCAUAAUAAGCAUUACACAUAUUAUACUGUAUUUCUGAAUAAACUGAUUAUAAUAUACA
This 1218-nucleotide long non-coding RNA is filed under the name Monodelphis domestica (gray short-tailed opossum). RNAcentral's name for it is "lncRNA (ENSMODG00000040471.1)". Lineage: Eukaryota; Metazoa; Chordata; Mammalia; Didelphimorphia; Didelphidae. The record is from RNAcentral.